CCAAGCACAACCCGGCGAGAGGAGAGCGAGAGCCAUCAAGGACACGGCAAGAUGCAGAUCUUCGUGAAGACGCUGACCGGGAAGACCAUCACGCUGGAGGUGGAGUCCUCGGACACCAUCGACAACGUCAAGGCCAAAAUCCAGGACAAGGAAGGUAUCCCGCCCGACCAGCAGCGCCUCAUCUUUGCAGGCAAGCAGCUAGAGGAUGGCCGCACUCUCGCCGACUACAACAUCCAAAAGGAGUCGACGCUUCACCUGGUGCUGCGCCUCCGAGGAGGCAGCAGAGGUGGAUGUUGGCGCCCCCUCCUCGCAGUGCCGCUCUUCUUCUUCUACCUCGAGCUGCCUCGCACAACUCUCUCUUCUCUCUUCUAUGAUUUUUCUCAAGAACACCUGAACGCACACUACACACACACAUACACCAAGGAACAGACCAUCCGCUAGCUUUGCCGAGAGGCUCCGUCCUUGGUGAAUACAGUGGCUACAUGUUUCUGCUCUGGCCCUCACGGCCUCCUCUUCUUUCAUUAACUCAGAGUGCAACAUAUCAUAUAAUUUUUUUCCUAUACACAGGGGACUCAACCCACGCACGCACUAGCCAGCCACAUCUCCGGGAAACUAAUCCCAGUACGCACGUUCACCUCCACCUCGUGGAGUCGCUCGAUGCUGCCGGGUCAUCCGAAAAUCAAGGAAAUAUUUCCUUGAUUUUCUGCAUGGCAUAUUUCCUAUCAUUUCACAACCUCCAACCGUCCACUACCAUGCACCGGAUGACUGAAUCACUCAGUCCAUGCGGAUCAACUAUCCUAUCUUUUAGCUAGCUCACCAACUAACCUAUGCAUGCAGCUAACGACUAACUCAGCCAUGCACCGGCUAAUACUCACACAAUGUGUACAAAUGCACGUGCACUAAGUCACAUGUCAAGAUUAUUCCAACAGUGGAUACCCCGAGAACCUUGAGCCCAACCGUACCUCCGCAUCCUUGCUCAAAAGUACAAUGAAAACAAACUGGUCUGCCGCAGGUAUGCACUCCAAGUAACAGAACCUUUUCUGUUAGUACCAUUAUGGUUGUUGUUUUUCUCCUGUUUCAUGGAUCGGCGAUCUCGGACUCGGAGAUUGUAGAACUAUAGAUAUAUGUGUUGUGUUGUUUAAUAGAGGCGAUUAUGCUUUUCGUUACAUCUUGGUGAAACGUAGAUUUGAAUUGCCAAACAGAGGUUGAUCGAUCUCACCUUCAAUCUAUCAUCUCCUUUCUUUGCUUUGCAGUCAUAGUUUCAAACUGAACAGCGUCUUUGGUUUGCUUGCGAUAAUGGCUGAUUUCUGUGAAUAAUGGAAUUACCUAGAUGGUUGAUAUGCAGAUGAUUAAUUAAGAUGUGCAUAGUACUCCCUCGAAACUGUAAAAGCUUUGACAGAGUUGUCACCAAGGUUUUGGUUACCGAAUGAGGCAACUUUACCGAGGGGGACGGGUAAACGUGGUUACCACGGUUACCGGGAAAUACCGAGAAAUACGUUUUAUAGUUGAAUUUUAAAUUCAAAUAAAUGAAUGAACGAACAUUCGAACCAGAGACCUGUCAAAACGUGAACUAGGUUGCUACGAACACGUUAGAAUCAACUCUCAUGGCAUUAAUUAGAUCCUAUGCACUUUACUACAAAUGGAGCAUUUAAAUUUAAAAUUUUCAAAAAGAUGGUAUUUUUUGCUCGGUAUGAGGAUUUAUCAAGGGGCACGGAAAUAUGCGGUAACCAUGGGAAAUCUUAAAAUUUCGACGGUAACCAAAACCCAAUGCUUAAAUUGAAGUCACUGAUUAAUUAUUAGACUUGUCUCAAAUAGUCACUGCCUUGUAGGUGCUAUGCACGCCUACCCGCCAGGGCCACCAACUGCCGUAAGAAGUGUGGCCAUAACAAUCAGCUAAGGGAAAAGAAGAGGUUUAUGUCCAAGUUUGCCAAUGCUUCCUAAACGUUGGAAAUGAUGAUGAAUCAACCGUCUAGUGCCAUAUAUUGGAGUUUAAGUUCUGUCCCUAGUUUGAAGUCAUGUUGGAUUUUGCUGAAUCGUCUAGUGUCGUCAUAUAUAGUGGAGUCUAAGAUUUGUCCAGUUGAUAGUCCUGUUGGAUUUUGAACCUAUGUAUGCUUUGGAAUAAAUUAUCUAUCAAAUA
RNA transcript from Triticum aestivum (bread wheat), 2137 nucleotides. It is a transcript of the gene named ubiquitin, with no coding region annotated. The record is from RefSeq and is a predicted model, not a curated record. NCBI's taxonomy places the organism in Eukaryota, Viridiplantae, Streptophyta, Magnoliopsida, Poales, Poaceae. The transcript is spliced from 3 exons.